GAGCAACCUGCCUAUUAGAGGGGAAUAACAGUGAGAAAUCAUUGCUAAUACCGCAUAAGCUAGUAAUGCUGCAUGGCAUAGCUAGAAAAGGAGCAAUCCGCUAAUAGAUGGGCUCACGUCCGAUUAGCUAGUUGGUGGGGUAACGGCCUACCAAGGCAACGAUCGGUAGCCGAGCUGAGAGGCUCUACGGCCACAUUGGGACUGAGAUACGGCCCAGACUCCUACGGGAGGCAGCAGUCGGGAAUAUUGCGCAAUGGAGGAAACUCUGACGCAGUGACGCCGCGUAUAGGAAGAAGGUUUUAGGAUUGUAAACUAUUUUAGGCAGGGAAGAAAUUGACUGUACCUGCAGAAUAAGCUCCGGCUAACUACGUG
Molecule: ribosomal RNA, 372 nt
Filed under: uncultured bacterium
Lineage: Bacteria
Description: bacterial SSU rRNA
Rfam family: Bacterial small subunit ribosomal RNA
Source: RNAcentral